UUCAGGAUGGCUGAGUGGUUAAAGCGUCAGAUUACCAAUCUGUUCCACUUCAUGUGGGCGUGGGUUCGAAUCCCACUUCUGAGG
Molecule: non-coding RNA, 84 nt
Organism: Bolinopsis microptera
Lineage: Eukaryota; Metazoa; Ctenophora; Tentaculata; Lobata; Bolinopsidae
Source: the annotation of a RefSeq genome assembly